CCUGGGCUUCAUUAUUAGCCGACUUUCUACAGUGAUUGGCUACCCUCUGAAUCUCUUCCAGACUUCUUCCGGCCACGAACGACUUUACUCCGAACUUCUUUCGAACUUCAUCAAUGUCCGAGCUUCUCCAACAGUAGGACUUCUACCGAAACCAGACUCCAUCCAAGUUUCUAUGAUGAUCAACCGCCCUUCGGAUUUCAUCCAAGCUCUUACAAGAGUCAGAUCCCAGCCGAAUUCCUACAGUGGAUGGAUUACAGACGAACUUCUACUGCAAGCUGUCUACUCCGAACUUCUACUACAAGUGAUUUACUCCGAACUUCUACUGCAAGCGAUCUACUCCAAACUUCUACUGCAAGCAGUCUACUUCAGAUCUCUACUGUAAGUGAGUUCCAUCCGAGCUUCUACUGUAAACGAAUUCUUUUUGAACUUCUAUUACAGGUGGACUUCAGCCGAGCUUCUUCCAUAAGCGAUCCCCAUCUGGACUUCUAUAAGAAUCAGACUCCGUCUGAACUUC
RNAcentral lists this long non-coding RNA (514 nucleotides) under Elaeis guineensis (African oil palm). RNAcentral describes it as "long non-coding RNA (EGUI_LNC077969)". Lineage: Eukaryota; Viridiplantae; Streptophyta; Magnoliopsida; Arecales; Arecaceae. The record is from RNAcentral.